Molecule: long non-coding RNA, 545 nt
Organism: Apis dorsata (giant honeybee)
Lineage: Eukaryota; Metazoa; Arthropoda; Insecta; Hymenoptera; Apidae
Exons: 2
Source: RefSeq, a predicted model, not a curated record
UUAUUAUGUAAAAAAUAUAUAAUAUAUUAUAGAUAAAAAUAUAGUUUGAAUUAACUAUACUGAUUAACGUAGUUCAAUUGAGUACCUCUAUACGGAAGUGACAGGAAUUGCGAUUGGUAGGGUAGCGUUAUUUUAUUACGUGUCAUAUACGCAAAUCUUUUCUCUAUUGCUUGAGAAUUCCAAAAACGAGUUUUUGGGAAGUUUUUUAAUAUUUGAUUAUCUUAAUUAUAUACAUAUUAAAGCAGGAAGAUGCGUCAAUUAAAGGGAAAAACAAAAGAAACAAAUAAACAGAAGAAAGAAAGGAAAAAGGAAUUUUUGGAAAAUAAACAACGUGUUUUUACAGUUGUGUUACCAACAAUUGCUGCAAUAUUUGUUAUAAUAGCAGCAUACGUUUAUGUUAAAACCCGUCCAAAAGUUGUUGAGUAUUAAUUGGCGUGUGUUCAUUAUUAAUCAUUAAAAUACAAUACCAAUGUAUUUCAAGAAUGCUUGGACAGUUCCUUGAUACAUUUGUACAAUUAAAUAAGAAUUAUUUAAAUAAGAAAGCA